GACGAACGCUGGCGGCGUGCUUAACACAUGCAAGUCGAACGAUGAAGUUCGGACGGAGGCUUCGGCCAACUGAAGAACGGAUUAGUGGCGGACGGGUGAGUAACGCGUGAGUAACCUGCCUUUCAGAGGGGAAUAACAUUUGGAAACGAAUGGUAAUACCGCAUAAAGUCACGGAACCGCAUGAUUCUGUGACCAAAGGAGCAAAUCCGCUGAAAGAUGGACUCGCGUCCGAUUAGCUAGUUGGAGAGGUAAACGGCUCCCCAAAGGCGACGAUCGGUAGCCGGACUGAGAGGUUGAACGGCCACAAUUGGGACUGAGACACGGCCCAG
RNAcentral lists this ribosomal RNA (329 nucleotides) under uncultured bacterium. Its description in RNAcentral is "bacterial SSU rRNA". It matches the Rfam family "Bacterial small subunit ribosomal RNA", at positions 28 to 334 of the family's 1533-position model. The record is from RNAcentral.